GGCGGGAUGGCCUAAUGGUAAGGCGUUGCUUUCCGGUCUGCUGUUACACUACAGUUAGAACAUGGCAAAGAUUGUGGGUUCGAGUCCCAUUCUCGUCG
This 98-nucleotide transfer RNA is filed under the name Exophiala aquamarina CBS 119918. It matches the Rfam family "tRNA". Rfam says of the family: Transfer RNA (tRNA) molecules are approximately 80 nucleotides in length. Their secondary structure includes four short double-helical elements and three loops (D, anti-codon, and T loops). Lineage: Eukaryota; Fungi; Ascomycota; Eurotiomycetes; Chaetothyriales; Herpotrichiellaceae. The record is from Rfam by way of RNAcentral.